GACGAACGCUGGCGGCGUGCUUAACACAUGCAAGUCGAACGGAAAGGCCCUGCUUUUGUGGGGUGCUCGAGUUGCGAACGGGUGAGUAACACGUGAGUAACCUGCCCUUGACUUUGGGAUAACUUCAGGAAACUGGGGCUAAUACCGGAUAGGAGCUCCUGCUGCAUGGUGGGGGUUGGAAAGUUUCGGCGGUUGGGGAUGGACUCGCGGCUUAUCAGCUUGUUGGUGGGGUAGUGGCUUACCAAGGCUUUGACGGGUAGCCGGCCUGGGAGGGUGACCGGACACAUUGGGACUGAGCUACGGCCCAGACUCCUACGGGAGGCAGGAGUGGGGAAUAUUGCACAAUGGGCGGAAGCCUGAUGCAGCCACGCCGCGUGCGGGAUGACGGCCUUCGGGUUGUAAACCGCUUUCGCCUGUGACGAAGCGUGAGUGACGGUAAUGGGUAAAGAAGCACCGGCUAACUACGUG
This 468-nucleotide ribosomal RNA is filed under the name uncultured bacterium. Its description in RNAcentral is "partial 16S ribosomal RNA". It matches the Rfam family "Bacterial small subunit ribosomal RNA", at positions 28 to 507 of the family's 1533-position model. The record is from RNAcentral.